AAUGAACGCUGGCGGCGUGCCUAACACAUGCAAGUCGAGCGAGAAAGUCUCUUCGGAGAUAAGUACAGCGGCGGACGGGUGAGUAACGCGUGAGAAUUUACCCUUAGUGAAGAAUACCUCUGAGAAUCAGGGUUAAUACUGCAUACGUCCCUACGGGGAGAAAGGUGGCCUCUUUGCUGCCGCUAAAGGAUAAGCUUGCGUACUAUUAGCUAGUUGGUGAGGUAAAGGCUCACCAAGGCGAUGAUGGUUAGCCGGCCUGAGAGGGUGUACGGCCACACUGGAACUUAGACACGGUCCAGACUCCUACGGGAGGCAGCAGUGAGGAAUAUUGCGCAAUGGGCGAAAGCCUGACGCAGCGACGCCGCGUGGAGGAUGAAGGUCUUCGGAUUGUAAACUCCUGUUAAGUGGGAGAAGACCUAUUUCUAAUACAGAUAGGGGAUGACGGUACCAUUAGAGAAAGCACCGGCUAACUUCGUGCCAGCAGCCGCGGU
This 491-nucleotide ribosomal RNA is filed under the name uncultured bacterium. RNAcentral describes it as "bacterial SSU rRNA". It matches the Rfam family "Bacterial small subunit ribosomal RNA", at positions 29 to 521 of the family's 1533-position model. The record is from RNAcentral.